AACGAACGCUGGCGGCAUGCCUAACACAUGCAAGUCGAACGAGACCUUCGGGUCUAGUGGCGCACGGGUGCGUAACGCGUGGGAACCUGCCCUUAGGUUCGGAAUAACUCCCCGAAAGGGGUGCUAAUACCGGAUAAUGUCUUCGGACCAAAGAUUUAUCGCCUUUGGAUGGGCCCGCGUUGGAUUAGCUAGUUGGUAGGGUAAAAGCCUACCAAGGCGACGAUCCAUAGCUGGUCUGAGAGGAUGAUCAGCCACACUGGGACUGAGACACGGCCCAGACUCCUACGGGAGGCAGCAGUGGGGAAUAUUGGACAAUGGGCGAAGGCCUGAUCCAGCAAUGCCGCGUGAGUGAUGAAGGCCUUAGGGUUGUAAAGCUCUUUUACCCGGGAUGUUAAUGACAGUACCGGGAGAAUAAGCUCCGGCUAACUCCGUG
Molecule: ribosomal RNA, 433 nt
Filed under: uncultured bacterium
Lineage: Bacteria
Description: partial 16S ribosomal RNA
Rfam family: Bacterial small subunit ribosomal RNA
Source: RNAcentral